Molecule: long non-coding RNA, 372 nt
Organism: Bos indicus x Bos taurus (hybrid cattle)
Lineage: Eukaryota; Metazoa; Chordata; Mammalia; Artiodactyla; Bovidae
Source: Ensembl
AAGGAAUUGCCCUGUAGAUUCCGGAGAGGGGCGGGGAGAGGGAAGGGGUGUUGCCCUUGACUCCCUUGAAGUUCAAAGUUCUUUUUUGCUCUGGUGAGGAAAAACCCCCUCUGCCUUCAACCCACUCGAGAAAUCAGCCUCAGGCAGCGCCGCGGCUGGAGGGGAUUACCCGAAGAGGUUGAGCCCAGAGUGCCCCUGACCGGCAAGGGCGGGGUUGGACAUCCCAGGGGCCCGGAGAACAAUUCCAAAGAGAAGGGAAAGAUGAGAGAAUUGCUUCCAAAUCUCAGCCCCCAAAGAACGAAUUUGGAACAGAGACCACCAGAGUGCCCUCACUGAACGCGCUGAAAGGACUGUGGUUAUCUUUAUACAGAA